Molecule: ribosomal RNA, 696 nt
Filed under: Triticum aestivum (bread wheat)
Lineage: Eukaryota; Viridiplantae; Streptophyta; Magnoliopsida; Poales; Poaceae
Description: partial small subunit ribosomal RNA
Source: RNAcentral
AUGUGGUCGUCGUGGAGCCGGCGGAAGCCAGCCGCCGGGCGGCUCACGCAUUCCCCGUCGUUAUCCUCGUCUGCCACGUCGCCGUCCAAAGAGCACAGCGGCAUCGGCUCCGUCCUUGACGAUGCGGCGGCACCCCCCGCCGGCGGAGGCAAGAUCGUCCUGCACCGCGUGCGGUCGUCGACCAAGCUACGGACGUGCAAGUCGUUCGCGGCGGCCGAGGAGGCAGCGGCGGCCGCGGUGGCGGCCGAGCGGCGUGUCGUGCUCUACUUCACCUCCCUACGAGCCGUGCGGCCCACGUUCGAGGCCUGCCGCGACGUGCGCGCCAUCCUGCGCGGCCUCCGUGUCGGCGUCGACGAGCGGGACGUGUCCAUGGACGCGGCGUUCCUCACCGAGCUCCGCGCGCUGAUGCGGCGGGACCAACCGCCGCUGCCGCAGCUAUUCGUCGCCGGACGGCUCGUCGGAGACGCGGAUGACGUGCGCGCGCUGCACGAGAGCGGGGAGCUCCGGCGCGUCGUGGCCGGGGCGCCGCAACUUCCACCCACGCCGUGCGCGUCCUGCGGCGGCUCGCGGUUCGCCCCCUGCGUCGCGUGCGGCGGCAGCCAUCGCUGGUUCAGCGAGAAGACUAGGGGGUUCCGUGUCUGCGCAGCGUGCAACGAGAACGGCCUCGUGCGGUGCACCGCAUGCUCCCGCGGCUGA